This 433-nucleotide ribosomal RNA is filed under the name uncultured bacterium. RNAcentral's name for it is "partial 16S ribosomal RNA". It matches the Rfam family "Bacterial small subunit ribosomal RNA", at positions 29 to 507 of the family's 1533-position model. The record is from RNAcentral.
AGCGAACGCUGGCGGCAGGCUUAACACAUGCAAGUCGAGCGGGCACUUCGGUGUCAGCGGCAGACGGGGGAGUAACACGUGGGAACGUACCCUUUGGUUCGGAAUAACGCUGGGAAACUAGCGCUAAUACCGGAUACGCCCCUUUGGGGAAAGGCUUGCUGCCGAAGGAUCGGCCCGCGUCCCUUUAGCUGGUCGGUAGGGUAAUGGCCGACCAAGGCGACGAUCGGUAGCUGGUCUGAGAGGAUGAUCCGCCACACUGGGACUGAGACACGGCCCGGACUCCUACGGGAGGCAGCAGUGGGGAAUAUUGCACAAUGGGCGCAAGCCUGAUCCAGCCAUGCCGCGUGAGUCAUGAAGGUCUUAGAGUUGUAAAGCUCUUUUGUCCGGGACGAUAAUGACGGUACCGGAAGAAUAAGCCCCGGCUAACUUCGUG